Molecule: ribosomal RNA, 309 nt
Filed under: Henriciella sp.
Lineage: Bacteria; Pseudomonadati; Pseudomonadota; Alphaproteobacteria; Hyphomonadales; Hyphomonadaceae
Description: partial 16S ribosomal RNA
Rfam family: Bacterial small subunit ribosomal RNA
Source: RNAcentral
CACUCAACCUGAGAGUUUGAUUCUGGCUCAGAACGAACGCUGGCGGCAGGCUUAACACAUGCAAGUCGAACGACAUAGUGGCAGACGGGUGAGUAACGCGUGGGAACGUACCCUUCACUACGGAAUAGCUUCUGGAAACGGAAGGUAAUACCGUAUACGCCCUUCGGGGGAAAGAUUUAUCGGUGAAGGAUCGGCCCGCGUUGCAUUAGUUUGUUGGUGGGGGAAUGGCCUAUCAAGACUACGAUGCAUAGCUGGUCUGAGAGGAUGAUCAGCCACACUGGGACUGAGACACGGCCCAGACUCCUACGG